CACGCAGGCUGAAUUAUAAGUCGGUAGUAAAAGGCGGGGGCUCAACUUCCGUAUAUCUAUCGAUACUGUAAAUCUAGAGUAUGUGAGAGGGAAGCGGAAUUCCCGGUGUAGCGGUGAAAUGCGUAGAUAUCGGGAAGAACACCAGUGGCGAAGGCGGCUUCCUGGCACAAUACUGACGCUCAUGUGCGAAAGCUAGGGCAGCGAACG
RNAcentral lists this ribosomal RNA (207 nucleotides) under uncultured bacterium. RNAcentral describes it as "partial 16S ribosomal RNA". It matches the Rfam family "Bacterial small subunit ribosomal RNA", at positions 568 to 774 of the family's 1533-position model. The record is from RNAcentral.